CACGGGGGUUGCGAGCGUUGUCCGGAAUUACUAGGCGUAAAGGGCGCGCAGGCUGUUAUGCGAGUCUGCUGUGAAAUGUACCGGCUCAACCGGUGCCUUGCGGCGGAUACUGCAUAGCUGGAGUACUGUAGAGGCAAGCGGAAUUCCCAGUGUAGCGGUGAAAUGCGUAGAUAUUGGGAGGAACACCGGUGGCGUAGGCGGCUUGCUGGACAGUAACUGACGCUGAGGCGCGAAAGCCAGGGGAGCAAACGGGAUUAGAUA
RNAcentral lists this ribosomal RNA (261 nucleotides) under uncultured prokaryote. Its description in RNAcentral is "partial 16S ribosomal RNA". It matches the Rfam family "Bacterial small subunit ribosomal RNA", at positions 524 to 784 of the family's 1533-position model. The record is from RNAcentral.